GAAGCCCUCCAGGCCGUCGCUGGUGCGAUCACCGAAAGGUGGCACUGGAGGAACGUCCGGACUGCACAGGGCAGCGUAGCAGCUAACGGCUGCCCACCGUGAGGUGAGGAUCAGAGCAACAGAGACGAGUCGGUGGGCGGCGGCAACGCGGCACACCGGGUGAAACGGGCAAUCUCUACGCGCAGCAAUACCAAGUAGGCCGGCACGGGGUGGCGACACCCCAGCCUCUGUGUCCCGGAGGUUGUCGGCGGGUAGGUAGCACCGAGCCGGUGGGGCGACCCCCGGCCCAGAGGAAUGACGGUCACGCCCGCUUCGCAAGAGGCGGGCGCACAAAAUCCGGCGUAUCGGGGGGCUUCACAC
RNAcentral lists this RNase P RNA (360 nucleotides) under Comamonadaceae bacterium. RNAcentral's name for it is "RNase P RNA component class A". It matches the Rfam family "Bacterial RNase P class A". Rfam says of the family: Ribonuclease P (RNase P) is a ubiquitous endoribonuclease, found in archaea, bacteria and eukarya as well as chloroplasts and mitochondria. Its best characterised activity is the generation of mature 5'-ends of tRNAs by cleaving the 5'-leader elements of precursor-tRNAs. Cellular RNase Ps are ribonucleoproteins. The record is from RNAcentral. Lineage: Bacteria; Pseudomonadati; Pseudomonadota; Betaproteobacteria; Burkholderiales; Comamonadaceae.